This 369-nucleotide long non-coding RNA is filed under the name Linum usitatissimum (flax). RNAcentral describes it as "long non-coding RNA (LUSI_LNC001318)". The record is from RNAcentral. Lineage: Eukaryota; Viridiplantae; Streptophyta; Magnoliopsida; Malpighiales; Linaceae.
UCCGCUUCCCGAACAAAUCUUAACCUAAUCCGCCAACGUUGUUGAUAUCUAGUAGGUUCAUGGUAACCUUAUCCUAAACAAUACCAAGAAUGAGAGCAUUCCUUGAUGCUUGAGUGGCGAGUAUAAAAGAAAGAGUCUUAUGGUUACCAUGGAGCACCACCUAUGAUUCCAGUACGGUAAGUUAUGCAGAUCAGCUGAGUCUUAGGUCCAGCCCCGCCCAUCGUGAAACCAAAGGCAAAGAAUUGUUCUUAUUCGGACAGAUUCCCGAGCUUCCAAACAUGCUUAAGUCGGAGUUAAAGUUCAGGCAGCAGAUCCACAACAAAAAUUUCACAGAGAAGCAUUUCGUGGGAGGAAAAGCAAAAAGGAAAA